AUGUAAAGGAUUUCACAGAAACUUGCAUUGUUCUGUCUGAGAGUGAGGAAAGUGCAGUAAAGCGUCUCCUUGAUGAAUUAGUAAUAAAGGUUUCUUCAUAUCAGGAGAAUGAUUUUUGUGGUUAACUACCUUUUGAGGCUUGCG
Long non-coding RNA from Hydra vulgaris (swiftwater hydra), 144 nucleotides. RefSeq lists it as uncharacterized. The record is from RefSeq and is a predicted model, not a curated record. NCBI's taxonomy places the organism in Eukaryota, Metazoa, Cnidaria, Hydrozoa, Anthoathecata, Hydridae.